RNAcentral lists this long non-coding RNA (2027 nucleotides) under Canis lupus familiaris (dog). RNAcentral's name for it is "lncRNA (ENSCAFG00030020012.1)". The record is from RNAcentral. Lineage: Eukaryota; Metazoa; Chordata; Mammalia; Carnivora; Canidae.
GUGACUUCAAAAAUUGCACUCUAAGAGAUAUUUCAAUGAUUUGGAUAUUUAAAUAUUUAAAAUAAGGACUUUUCUGGAAAAACUGGAAUGGUGGCUACCAUGCUCUUCAAUGACUCACAUUGUACUAGAGUUAUUGAGGAUACAAAUGUGUAGGGCAUGAUAUGUUCCUCCUACUGAGGAAUUUAUAGUAUUGUUAGGAAAAUAGGACUUUCAUAAAGAAAAUGGUUACAGGGAUUUUAAUAAACAACGCUAGAGAAAAUAAAAUCCUACACAAAUUUUCACCAAUAGAAUGUAUAUAGUGUUUCAGAUUCUUACCAAUCAUUUGAAGGGGGAAUUGUUAUUUCCAUUUUAGAGAUGAGGAAAUUAAGCUUGGAGAGGUUAAAUGACAUGCUCAACAUUAACACUGUGCAGGAGGGAUCAAACCCAGGUUCUUUCAGGCUCCAGACCCUCUGUUGUUUCCACUCUGAUGUUGAUCCAUCCUUUCUUUUGUCCCACAGCAGAUCUCACAAAGUGAUGGUGAAAAUUGUUAUUUCUAAUUUAAAACAUAUGCAAGGCUUAUGGGAUUACUGAGUUUUCCUCUAUUUCAAAGUUGUCUUAAAACUGUUAUUUUAUACAUAAAAGAAGAAAAAAUGUGAGAGAUCUCUGGGUGGCUCAGAGGUUUAGUGCCGCCUUCGGCCCAUGGGGUGAUCCUGGAGACCCAGGAUCGAGUUCCACAUCAGGCUCCCUGCAUGGAGCCUGCUUCUCCCUCUGCCUGUGUCUCUACCUCUCUCUCUCUCUCUCUCUCAUGAAUAAAUAAAUAAAAUCUUUAAAAAAAAAGAAAAAGAGAAAAGGUGACACUAAAGAUAGGUUCUAUUACAUUUGAACCACCCAUGCUUUGUUGGCUUUCAUUUAAUUAAAUUGUUUCUCUUCUUUGGCAGGUAAUUAUAUGGAAUUAGCAAGAUGAAUAAAAAUAAAUGGAUUCAUGAUUUCCUGGAAGUAGUUUCAAGGGGCGACAUGGAACUCAUCUGUGACUAUAUUACUAAAGUCCAUUCCAUCCUUGGAAACCUUAACUCACAGCAUUCAAAGACUGGGAAUACACCUCUUAUUACUGCAGCAGAAGAAAAUCUAACAGAGGUUGUUGAAUUUCUUCUGGAAAAGGGAGCAGAUAUCACUCUUUGUAAUUACAGCAAUCAAACUGCAGUUCAUGUGGCUAAUUGUGAUGUGCAUAGACAACUAUUGGCCAUCAGUGAAAUCCAAGCCCCCCAAAUGCAACUUCUACAAAGCUCAUGGCAAGGCGAUCUUGAACAACUUCAACACUUGCUGGUCAGUUAAAUUGAUGUUUGCUUCUGCCUUUGGAUAGGUGGAUGGGUAAAUGGUAAGAAAGGCAUAGACUACAUAUGGCUUCUUUUAAAGAAAAAUAAAUUCAUUUCAAAUGCAGUCCCAGAAAGUUUCAGGAAGAAAAUAGGAGAAAGAAACAGGAUCAAACAGGAUACUGGGGUGGAAAACAGGAUAAUAAAAGAGCACAGCAGCAGUCUAUUUCCACCUUCCUCCAGCUGGAUGCUAUAAGUCACGCAGCACCCACGGGAAAUGAGAUGCUCCCAGAAUGCCCCCAGAGAACUGCUGUCAACUUGCUCAGAGGAGUUCCCUUGACAUCAUUGCCAUUUGUACAAUUGCUGUUUAGAUCCCUUUGGACCAGCUGCACUUAUUAUCUUUAUCCUGAAAAGGGAAUCAGAGAGCCUAUGCUUUGCAGAUUUAGUUGUAGCUAAAGGAGUAAAGAGGACAUGUUUUUUAAAUGCUUUCUUCUUAAGGUAUCCAUCUUCUUGUUUAGAUCUUCUAGCCACAGAAAAGCUUUCCCAAAGUAACUUACAAAACCAUAUGCAUAAAUAAGGACUUUAAUUAUUGGUGACCGGCAACUGUCUACUCUUGGUAUUUACCUUCAGAAAUGCUAUCAGAUCACAUGACCUUCCAACCGAAAGAAAAUCAAUUGCUGCUAGGAAACAGUUUCUUCCAUUCCUUUAUGGUAGAGACACAAACAAAUAAAAGUGAAC